GAAGAUGCCGAUUACCCGCGAUGGGACGAAAAGACCCCGUGAACCUUUACUAUAGCUUAGCAUUGAAUUUGGGCACGCGAUGUGUAGGAUAGGUCGGAGGCUUUGAAGCGGGCACGCCAGUGUUCGUGGAGCCGCUGUUGAAAUACGACCCUUCGUUUGUUUGAGUUCUAACUUCGGAAAAGAAGGACAUUGCUUGGUGGGUAGUUUGACUGGGGUGGUCGCCUCCAAAAGCGUAACGGAGGCUUCUAAAGGUACCCUCAGGCCGAUCGGUAACCGGCCCAAGAG
Molecule: ribosomal RNA, 285 nt
Filed under: Bacteroides caecigallinarum
Lineage: Bacteria; Pseudomonadati; Bacteroidota; Bacteroidia; Bacteroidales; Bacteroidaceae
Description: partial 23S ribosomal RNA
Rfam family: Bacterial large subunit ribosomal RNA
Source: RNAcentral